UUGCUUUGGCAGUAAACUAAAACUGGAACAAUGCAGAGAUUAGCAUGACCCCUGAGUAAAGAUGACACACAAAUUCGUGAAAUGUUCCAUAUUGAU
Molecule: small nuclear RNA, 96 nt
Filed under: Jaculus jaculus (lesser Egyptian jerboa)
Lineage: Eukaryota; Metazoa; Chordata; Mammalia; Rodentia; Dipodidae
Source: RNAcentral